Molecule: unclassified non-coding RNA, 288 nt
Filed under: uncultured Glomus
Lineage: Eukaryota; Fungi; Glomeromycota; Glomeromycetes; Glomerales; Glomeraceae
Description: sequence contains 5.8S rRNA gene
Source: RNAcentral
GAACGCAAAUUGCACUCUUUUCACGAAGAGUAUGCCUGUUUGAGGGUCAUUAAAAUAAAAAAUCGAUUUGUUACCUUUUUAAGUAUCAUUUCGGAAUUGAGUUACCUUAAAUCUAGGGUUUAAGUGACUUAAAAUUGAUCUUUCGUUGACUUGAGCGCAUUUUAUGGUUAAUACUUUGUGCUUGAUCGACAUACUCUAUUAGGUUCGACCAUUUAUCAUGGUUUCGUACCCAUAAUCGUAUCAUUAAAUUUGACCUCAAAUCAGGUAGGAUUACCCGCUGAACUUAAG